Molecule: long non-coding RNA, 406 nt
Organism: Haliotis rufescens (red abalone)
Lineage: Eukaryota; Metazoa; Mollusca; Gastropoda; Lepetellida; Haliotidae
Exons: 3
Source: RefSeq, a predicted model, not a curated record
CAAGUAGAUCACAUGGUUGGGCGUAUACUGAUCUUGUGACUGGAGAGAUAUCAUAUCAACACAGGACAGGGGACAACUUAGAGGAAUCAUCCUGAAUUCGACCCAGGAACCUACGUUGUCAUCAGUUUUGAUCUCUCAUGAAUCACCACUAGUCGAGAUUUCGCAGUUGCGUUCCUUAGUAUGUCAUGCGGAAGGGACAGGUUGCCACAGGUGUGUACCAUGGCGGGAUUACGUUAUUUCAAGAUGGCGACGGCACGAGCUAAGUAAGUUACAGAAUUCCUCACCUGUGUGAUCUGCCAGGAACUGUACACAGACCCCUGUACACUGAGGUGUGAUCACACAUUCUGCAGGAAAUGUGUCACAGGAUACAUCCAAACCAGACCAGAUGCUGUACAGUCCAAGACGA